RNAcentral lists this ribosomal RNA (254 nucleotides) under uncultured bacterium. RNAcentral's name for it is "partial 16S ribosomal RNA". It matches the Rfam family "Bacterial small subunit ribosomal RNA", at positions 524 to 776 of the family's 1533-position model. The record is from RNAcentral.
UACGUAGGGUGCAAGCGUUGUCCGGAUUUAUUGGGCGUAAAGAGCUCGUAGGCGGUUUGGCAAGUCGGGUGUGAAACCUCCAGGCUCAACCUGGAGACGCCACUCGAUACUGCUAUGACUUGAGUCUGGUAGGGGAUCACGGAAUUCCUGGUGUAGCGGUGAAAUGCGUAGAUAUCGAGAGGAACACCUGUGGCGAAGGCGGGUCUCUGGACAGUUCCUGACGCUGAGGCACGAAAGCUAGGGGAGCGAACGGG